Molecule: transfer RNA, 71 nt
Filed under: Micropruina glycogenica
Lineage: Bacteria; Bacillati; Actinomycetota; Actinomycetes; Propionibacteriales; Nocardioidaceae
Also listed under: 1 other name
Rfam family: tRNA
About the family: Transfer RNA (tRNA) molecules are approximately 80 nucleotides in length.
Source: Rfam by way of RNAcentral
GCGGGCGUAGUUCAAUGGCAGAACAUCAGCUUCCCAAGCUGAGAAUGCGGGUUCGAUUCCCGUCGCCCGCU